CAAUAGCGUAUAUUAAAGUUGCUGCAGUUAAAAAGCUCGUAGUUGCAUUUCCGAGGCAAGGGAUUAGUCCGACCUUUGGUGGGUAUUUAAUCCUCUUGCCUCGUCCUUGAGUGGUACUUCUUGGUAUUAAGUUAUCGAGGAGAUAGCCGCUCAUCGUUUACUGUGAGAAAAUUAGAGUGUUCAAAGCAGGCUUAUGCCGUUGAAUAUAUUAGCAUGGAAUAAUAAGAUAGGACCUCGGUACUAUUUUGUUGGUUUGAGAACCAAGGUAAUGAUGAAUAGGGACAGUUGGGGGUAUUCGUAUUCAGUUGUCAGAGGUGAAAUUCUUAGAUUUACGGAAGACGAACUACUGCGAAAGCAUUUACCAAGGAUGUUUUCAUUAA
Molecule: ribosomal RNA, 380 nt
Filed under: uncultured eukaryote
Lineage: Eukaryota
Description: partial 18S ribosomal RNA
Rfam family: Eukaryotic small subunit ribosomal RNA
Source: RNAcentral